Molecule: long non-coding RNA, 1061 nt
Organism: Neopsephotus bourkii (Bourke's parrot)
Lineage: Eukaryota; Metazoa; Chordata; Aves; Psittaciformes; Psittacidae
Exons: 3
Source: RefSeq, a predicted model, not a curated record
CAGGUGAUGAUCUACAAAGAACAAAGGUGGUGUUUUUGCCAGACUGAAAAGUGAACAUGAUAGAUUGGGAGUGCCAGAACUAAGGGAUUCCCUUCUGGGUAGCCCAGAUGUCAUUGAUACUGCUCCAAGAAGAAAGCAAAGACAAAGGACAGCUAAGCCUGAUAGGACAGGAUCUAAGAUGGCUUCUCAUGAGACAGAACUGCCAGCCAAGGAAAAACCAGUUCUGGCCUCACAGAAGACAUUGGAGAAGCAUUCCCUGGAUACUAUGUCUCUCGAAACGCUGGGAAACAGUUGUGAGCCGGAGGAUCUAUUUGAUGACAUAUAGCUAUGUGCUAGAUGAGAAACCAACAGACUGCUGCUUCUGAUAGAGAUAAGCUGUAAAACUAAAAGGCUUUGUUAUAGCCACUGAGCCAAAAUCUUUACUCUGAGGUGGUACUCAAUGACAUAUUGCUCUAAUUCUCUUGUGCUGCACUUGUCCCCAUUCUUUGCUAUGCUAUCAUAGACCCUUGGCCUGCUAAACUUGAUUUGUGAUGGUCUGGAAAUAUGUUUAGCCUCUGUGUAGAUCUCUUAUCAUGUGUAUGCAGGGAAGGGGAGCUCCAUUUUUACUUCCUAACAGUCUCUGGCUGCUGAUUGUAUCUAGGAUCAAAUGGUUUCUAGGUGUCCCCAGAGAAUGUCAGAUGUAAACAAGAUGAAGGCUAUCACUGUCCUUAUCUUAUACACUGCCCCUUUCUUGAGAAUCUCAGCAUAGAUGUGGUCUAGCUAAAUCAUCUUCAACUUUGACUGAUAUAGCUUCCUAAACUGUGAGUUAGAAUACCUUCUGACUUGAAGCAUCCAAAGAAAUGUCCUUUCACUUUUUACUUGGAUGUUCUCUGCUGCGUUAUGCGUUGUAAGAUAUUCUUGCCUUUCACAGUAAAGUGCAUAUGAAGUCAAUAUUGACUAUAUUGACUAUAUUCUAUAUUCUAUAGAAACCCAGAAAUAGAAAGCCUUUAAAAUUGUAAUUUUUGGUCCUUCAUUAUUUUUCUUGAAGUGAUUUCUAAAAAAAAUAAAAUGCAUUCUAAAAA